This is a long non-coding RNA of Parus major (Great Tit), 4519 nucleotides long. RefSeq lists it as uncharacterized. The transcript has 2 exons. The record is from RefSeq and is a predicted model, not a curated record. Lineage: Eukaryota; Metazoa; Chordata; Aves; Passeriformes; Paridae.
GCUCACACCGUUUACUCCGGGAGCACGGGGAGGACGAGGGAAGGAGCCGAGGGGAAAGGAAAACGGUGGGGAACUGCGGACACUGUGGGGAGUUGGACAGCAGCAGGAGAGGGCGAGGAGCCCCUUGAGGGCGGUGUGAGGGGCAGGAAGGAAGGGCCUCCCCUCCUGGCUGGGCGCCCAUGCGGGAGGCCGGGGAAACAGCGUGGGCUGCUUCAGGGCUGGUGUUGGGAAGCCACGGUGCGGCACAUGGAGGGAGUGGAGAGAGGGCUCUGGGAGCGAUUCACAGGGGAUUGCAGUGGUGCUCGGGUUCCUCUUUCCGUGCUGGCCUUCGACCCGGCUUUCCUACUAAGCGCAUUUAAAAGAUAAAUAAUUUCUGUACGGCUUGGGCGCUUGAGGUUCAAACGUCCCCUCGCCCCUUCCUUCCCCUCUCCCUUCCUCGCCACGUUUGCUCUGCCCCAGGCUGGGCAAGGGAGAGGGUAGAAACACUGCAGUAACUUUUACUACCAAGAUGUCUCGUUCCCUCGAGAGACGGUGGGGUGACGAGGGAUGGCUGAUGCAGGAGGGGGAGGAGGAGGUCGUGCUGCCCGGCACGGCGGGCGGGAGGCUUGGCUGCGCUGCUGGGGCUCUGCCAGCCCUCGCCUCAUCUGCUUUUCACUUCGUUUUGGCACCAGCAACACGUUUACUCUCCUACCCGUGGUUUAGAACGCUCAGAUGGUGGUUUACUCUUCCCCCGUAAGAGUAUAUUAAAAACGUGUCUUGCCUUCUUAAAUCUCUUCAGUGUAGAGGAAGUCGUAGCUGCUACAGGACAGGGCAAACAAAAGACCUAGAGACAUUAAGAGGGAUGGCAAAGAAAAGAGGCUUGAUCACAAUAUACCUAGUCAAGAAUCCAUUUUUUUCUACACUUUAGUUUCCGCUUUCCUUCCAGAAAAUCAUGAUGGGUCCUUUCCAGCUCGGCAUGUUCUGUGAUUCUAUGGUUUGAAGUUUCAGUUAAUUAAGAUUUCAAACCCGCAAUGCACCGUGCAGUUCGAGAGGGCUCUUGCUCUGCUUAUACCAGGAGAGUUAUUCAGUGAUAAUUGCUUUUAGAACCUUCCCUUAAUUUACGGUUAUUUUUUUAUUUUUCCCGGGAGUGUCUCGAGAGUACUUUCACUUAAAGAAGAAGCGGCACUCAUUCGCGUUUGUGAACAGAAUAGGAGGUGGAAGCCUCUCCUUCCUUUCUGCGUGCGCUCCGUGGUUUAGGUGCCAGUCUCUCCCCAGAUUUUACACGGGGAGCUGCCGGGACCAGCCCGCGGCCGGGGCAGCCUCCCCUCUUCCUGCCCGGGUUCCCCGGCGCGUCCAUGCGGUGGUAGCUUGUAUGGACCGGUGUCUUCGCUCUCCCUCCCUCCCUCCGCCGGUGUGUACGUGAUCCGCUGCGAGUCGCUGCAGAUUCCGCCUCUUUGCGUCAUAUGGGCUGGGAGAAGCAUCCUCCCUCCCCCUACCCGCAGGAAUAACGGGGAGCCCCCGGGUUUACCUAGGAUUAUCCGAAACUCUAAUCGGGAUAAAAGGGAUUUGUUGCCAUCGAGGAGAAAAAUGUUGCAGUUCUUGAGAAAAAAAAAAAAAUAAUCGAUGCGUUUAAAUGGCUUCUCUUUUACCCCUUGGGGGGGCUACACUUCAAGUUUUAUCCAGUUUGCCCUCAGUGACAUAAAUUCCACUGCUGUAUGAUUCUAGGAGGAACUGAGAAUCAGAACAUCUGUCUUAAUGGUCUGGUGGCCAAAUCGCCAUUUUAAUUUAAAAGUGUGGCAGGGCACUGCCUGAAGCAGCAGUAGCGUGCUCAGCAAGAGGCUGAGCCCUGCAACUUGCUUCCGUGUGGCUGGAGAUUAUAUAAUGCAGCAGCAGAUGCAUCUCCUUUUAUAAAGUAUUAAUCUGCACUUGCCACUGUGUGAAUUAAGGCAUUUGAAGGACUUGUGGAAUCCAUGGGUAGCAUCUAGACUUUGCAUCUGGCAGAUUGCCAUAGAAGCAUGGAGGGUUCCAAAGUAACAGCCUGUGAAAGUUGCUGUCUAAGGAGUGGGGCUGUCACAAAGACCAAAAAAAGUAAACUGGAUGCCUUCCAAGCUGUUUCAUUGGCAGCAUUGUUGUCCCAGCUUUGAAGAACAAGGAAAUAAAACCCCCAGCGUUUUAGAACAUGAUCAUUUCAUCUGAAUCACACAACACAGUGUGUGACCAUAUGCCCUUACUAUCUUGGUAAGAGCAGAGAUGUUUAAAAUAAGCUGCCUCAAGUCAGUUUGAAGGUUAGGAGUUAAACAAGGGACACAAUGAGUCAUGCCCUGUCAAGGUCAUUUGCCCUUUGGAGGACAAAGUGCAAACGUGUGAGAGAAGUGAAGUCCUGAAGUACACGCAGAAGGAAAUAACGCUGCUGUUACUGCUAAUAUAAAAACAAGCUAUUCAAGCAAAGUGUAGGUGAGGCAAAGCUGCUGACUCAGAAGUAGGCAAAAAAAUUGUAGUAUUAGGAAAAAAAGUUCCAGUCUUUCGUUUUGUUUUGUUUUACAUUUGUCAGACACUAAAAGUCUUCAAAGUAUCUGUAAUCCAAACUGAACUCACAAACAACUGAGUAGAAAAAACAGCUGUUAAACAUAAAAUCUUAACAGGUGUCAGUAUUUAGAUUGGUCUGUAAGUCUGAGCAUAGAAUGAAAUAUACGUGAAAUUAUUUUAAAGUGAAGUUACUCACUUUGCUGUCAUUUUUACUCCUAAUAAUUUAAAAGUAGUUUUAUGUAAAUUACACAAGGCUUUCUAUUUAUAGGGAAUGUUAACUUUUCAGUUACUUCCCUGCAUUGGUGCUACUUCCUUGAAAGUUUCAUUUUUCUUGUUUUUCUACCUGUGGAAUUUCAGAAACUAUAGAAUAUAUAUGUGUCAUACUGGACUUUUUUUUGUGGAGUUAAAAGAAUUUAUCAGUGAUCUGUUUCACAGGAAAAAAGUUCUCUAUUUAGUACACUUAAUAUGUGUAAGUACUGAACUUGACAGUCUAUCAUUUCAGCUAGCCAGGUGUUAAAUUGUGAACUAAAAAUAUACUUUCCACCAUAAUCACAAGUACCUUGAGAGGCAAAAGAAGUUCUGACAAUCAAUUCUCAAUAUUUAUGGGUUGGUUCAGUUUCUGGACUAUUUCUAAAUUGUACUGGUUGCAGCUCAGGAAGGUGGUUUAAUAAAUGGCGUUUAAUAAGUCACUCGUCUCACUUUGUGGCAUUCUCUUGCCAUUCUGCUUCAGGUCAUGAAGUACUCUGGUGGAAUUUUCUGUGGGUUGCCAGUGGCUGCCACAGACAGUUUUGGCCACCAUAGGUCACUGACGUUCACACAGCCUCCAAACAACCUAUUCCGGGAGCGUGAUAAACUCAAAGAUCCGGUGUUGAGGAGGACAGCAGAAGUAAGGGAUGUAAUGGCCUGGAAUAUCAUAGCCCAUCCUGCUUAAGUAAGCAGCUACAUGUCUCUACGUUCAAAGCAUUCUAGGCUUUGCAAAGUUCCAAGGCUUAGUUAGCAGUAUAGAUAUACAACUCUUGUCCUGGUGACAUAGACUGGAAGAAGAAAUUUUGGUGCUGAACAAAUGAAAAAGCUCAACUCCUUCAGCAAAUGCUGGGUUUAAAAACAGCUUGAAAAGAACUCUAAAGAAACCUUUUGGAUUCCAGUGUUUUGGAAUAUCACAGACCAUGACUGUGGAUGCAAAGAUUUACAUAUUUAUCCUCCUGAAGCGUUAAUGGCUGAGGAACAUCAUAAGGCAUAUUUAAUAUAGUAGUGUGAGUGUAUGUGAUCUUGUCCUGGUAGCAAAGUUUCUUUUUCCACCAGAAGCUUCUCAACUAAUAGAGUAAAUAAAAUAAAUAUUUUUUUUAAAAAAAAGUCACAAAAUAAAUGUGAAUAAUGUGUAAAUAAAUGCUUUUCUUCUGUCAUCCACAAUAGAGUUUACUUGUUAACACUUAUGUAAUUUGAACACAAUCACAAGGAAUUUUUGUGUUCUACCCCCCCCCACAAAGGCACCUUUUCCAGCUAAGAACAGUGACUGCAAAUAGACACGCAUAUGAAAUACAUUUAUGUGUCUGUAGAUACAAUGUUAUAAGUACUAUUUGUAUGUAAAAUUAAGGAAUGUAGUUAUUAAUGGAUUAGUGUGACUAUUUCAAUGCAUUAAAUAUUUUUGAGACUUCAAAUCUUCUAUAAUUAUUCAAUGAUUGAAACUGGUCUCUUUUUAAUUUUUAAGAAGGUAUGUUUACAAUCUAGGUGUUCUGCUACUGAGUAUAUUUGUACAGGAGAAUGUUCUGAUCUAAUACAGUUAGUGUUUAGAAAAAUUGUGUAAUGUUUUCUUCAGGUAUCUAGAAUAAUUACUGUGAUUAUAUGCAAUAAAAUGUGAUGUAAUUAAAAGUAAACGGAACAAAUUCAAGUUGUAUUUUUAAUUACUUGUUCAAUUCUUGUAUUUGACUGCUUCUCUUUUGAUGAUUAUAGGCUCUCACUGACAUAACCAUUUACAUAUUUGAAUAAAGUCUUCCUGUUUGGUGAUGUUUAGACA